GUACUACACACUGUUAAAACAGCUGAACACAGAGAAAAGAAAGCACUUCAUCAUCAGUACACAUCCAGUCCUGCAACAAUAACUUGUUUACUCUGUGUGUGUGUGUGUGUGUGUGUGUUUCAUUGUUACCUCCAGCCCUGACUUACAUACCAAGAAUAGCCGUCAUUCCCUGCAGUGUUUAGACUGGGGCGGGAAGUCGCCCUGUGAUUGGACCACACCGAGGCUCCACAGCAGGGAGAUAAUGGCUGGCGUGUGUGUGCGUGUGGGUGUGGGUAUGGGUGUGUGUCCAUAUCUCAUAGCCCCGGUUGACAGACCUGCUGGCAGAGCAGAUUUCAUUAGCACUAACUAGCCAGAGGGAAAGUGAGACCAGAGGACACUCACAGGCGUCCAGAUCCAGAGAGAACGUGAAGACGACGCAGGAACGACUUGGUUGUGUUUACACGGAGACACCACUGAAAAACACACGGUGUGGUUUCUUUUUCCACCUCCCUUCUCUGACACAUCGUGACAUUUUCAAAUUGCUGCUUUUGAACGUCUCGAGUUUAGAUUUGACUCAGAGCUGGGACCGUAGACGCCUGGGAGUGUGACUGACGGACAAACAGAUAAACUUCUUCUGAGGUUUGCUGUCGUCACGACGCUGUGGUCGACUGAUAAGAACGGCAUGGUCGUGGGUAAGGAAACGGCUGUGAGAUCUGAGAACACACACACACACGAAAGACCCCCCCCACCACCACCACCCCAACAUCAAAGUCAAUUAAAUAUCUAUUAACGUUUGAAUUGGGACAGAAGGAAAAUAACACUGCGAAAAAACAAAUUGAUGCACACACUCCAGUCCAGUAGGUGGCAAUAAUGUGCUUAAAGUUAAUCUGCCAGAAAGAAAAAGAGGUAGAGGGGGCACACAAGAAAGUGGGGAUGGAUGGAUGGAUGGAUGGACGGACGGACACCAGCUGUGGACGAGCAGCAGUGGACUAAUUAUGACUGACAGUCAAAAAGCACAGGGGUCAAAGGGCAGGGCAAUUUAACACACACACACACAGAUUACAGCUACUUAAGGCUGGAGGUCAGCAGCUCUCCUUUGUUCUGUCUUUUUUGACCCACUAAUGUUGUGGACACACACACACACACACACACACACACACGCUGGUGUUCGUGAGCCCUUCCCAUAAACACAAGCCAAUCCUAGGUCCUUACUCUAACUUUAGCUAUUAAAUCAUAUAUUCCUAAUCUUAAUCCUUACUCUGAGUCUAAUCUGAGUCUAAUCCUAAUCUCAACAAAUCACAUUUUUAGUGAGGACCUGCAGAAAUGUCCCUGUAAGGACAACGUGUCCCCACAAGUGCAGCUUUACAGGAAGCACACACUUUCACCUUUGACCUCUUGCUUACCCACUCUGGAGUGCUCUUCUUACUGGUAUGACCUUUGACCCAUUACACACACACACACACACGGAGCAGAGACAAUGCACUCUCCACAGAAUUCCCUCUGGACUUGUUUUUUUUUCAGUUCCUUUCCUGUGUUUUAGAAUCUGGUCAUGUGACCAAGGCCAUUGGAAGAAGAAGAAGGAAAAAAAACCAAAAAACCAUGAGUGUGAAAUUCUUUAUCAGUAUCUCAGGAUGUUACUGUCCACAUGAGGAACAGAACUUCCUGAACACUGAGGCUGAUUUCCUGUCUGGGCAGCAGAGCAGGACGUGUUCCGACCUAAUCAGCCUGUGAUGAAGAGCAGGACAUCAACAUGAUGAUGAUGAUGAAGGAGUCCCGCUGACUCAUCACAGACCAUAACGGCUUUCACUUUGAACCCAGCGUUCAUGUAGAUCCAGCAGAGAGCUUCUCUCUUCACUCUAAUUUUUUUUCUUUCUUUUUUUUUGCCUCAUCUCCAGAGAGUCACCUGAGCUCGCUCUUUGUUUGGAGGCCUUUUUUUCUUCUUCUCUGGUCGUCUUUCUUCUCCAGCUACUGUUCAGAGUCGAGCUGAGCAGAUCAUUCUUCCAGGGAGGGGGAAUGAAGGGCGGGGGCGCUCAUUUAUUAACCCUUUAUAGAAACAUUAAUGAUGUUUAUGUGCUACAUUUGUGCCACUCACUCUGUGUGUUUGAUUUCAGAUCUGACUGAAGCUAACACGCUAACACGCUAACAUUUCUGUUUCACCCACUGAGGGUUUGACUGGAGCUGCGCAGUGGAGCAGUGGGUGGAAGAGGAGGUACCCAGGCUGCCCUGCAUCUUACGCACUGAACACACACACACACACACGCACAGUUGUUUUUCUGAGCGUGCCUCAUCAUCCUGAACUUUCCGCUCUCUCCUCCAGGCCGCUGACUCAGCGUUUGAUGAUCACGCUCGUUGUCUUUUUAUCAUUGUGAUCUUCAAACUCUCUGUCUCUCACACACACACACACACACACACACACAGUGAGUCAUGUCAACCUCCUGUAAUGUUAUCUGAUUAAAAAAGAUCCAAGUCUCGCCGAGUCGAGAUGAAAUUCUAACCGCAGUAAAUUUCUACAGAAACAUUGAACAAAUACGGGCCACGCGAUGGAAGUGGAGAUAAGUGCUCUUGCCUUACAGCAAGAGUGUCACAGGUUCAAUCCUCUCCUGAAAUCACGCAGAAUGCGGUUUGGGUUGAUUAGUGAAUCAAGAGUGAAUUUCUUUAUAUCUGACCAAUUUUUGAAGCCUUUUUUUUGGUCGACCUUUUUUCUUUUUUUUUUUUUUUUAAUUAUUCUAAUCAAUUUAUUUUUUCCUCAACCUCUCCGUCCUCUCACACGUGAAUAUUUCCACAGACGUUAACCCGUCUUCACUCACGUGCUUGGUGUGACCUCUACGUUCUCGACCUUUUUCGGCGUUCUCUGCUACACAUCCGCUCAGUGACCCAGUUAAUCACUCGCUCACUUCUUCAGUUACUCUCCAUCUGCAUCGGCCUCUCUCUCUCCCUCCCUCCCUCCCUCCCUGCUUCCUCCUCUCCCCCUUCUCCUCGGACGAACGCUCGGGUUGACUUCAUCCACCCAUGGGAAAUCUGCCUUACGUCACCUCCACCCUCCACUCAAAUCUCCUCUCUUCUCUAAUAUAUAUGUUUAUGUGUGAAAGUGUUUCAACAACGUAUUUGAAAAACCAGUUGUUAAAGGAAGUUUCCUUGUUUUUAUUACUUCCAUUAUUAUACUGAGAUCAUUAAUGAGGAGUAGAACCAGAGUGAAGCUGGGAUGGUUUCUAUCAGGGGCCUGGGUCAUGCCCCCUCCUCACCCCCACCCCCCCAGGACAACUGUGGUGGGGCAUGUUUUUAAUAUAGUGGCCACAGAUGGCGACAUGACUCUCUGAGAAUCGCUCGAGUCCUCGGAAAUCUGUCCAUCCGAGAGGAUUCAUCACAGGAGAGCGCCUCAGCUUUUACGCAGAUGACACCGACAUUUACGUGUAAAUAUCCUCAGAGGAUAAAGAUUCCGUCCAGUCUCUGAGGAAACGGAUUGAACUGAUGAAUAAUUGGAUUCACCGGAGGGAAAAGGUCGGCGUUCGGCGGAAACGUGGCAGAUAUUUGGCUCUGAAAGUCAUCAGGGUCGAAGAUGAAUAUGGAAACGUGUGGUGAAUUUCCAAGCUACUGUCACAAUCAGUCGAGUCACGAGUUGAACCCUGAACCCAUAUUUUCCUUUAACCCUGGAGGUCACCACAGAGGGGUAAAAACCUGCCCCAGGACAACAAGGAACUUCUAAUGAGCUCUGGUUUAUGGGCUGUGAGAUGAGCUGAUGUCCUCUGGGACGGCUGAUGACUUGAUUGCUCUGGCGCCCCCCAGAGUUAACAGCCACGUUGAAGCUCUGAGGUUUCUCUUGAGUCCGGCCUCGACUGCAGCAGCUCUCUGUAAUCAGGCAGCGGUGACUGAAAAUAAACCUCAGCUUCACUGGAAACAUCACUGCAGGGAAACUGGCUGCUGAGGCUCGUGGACUGUACUUCACAUCAACUCACGACGUUCGUGUCCAGGGAACGUUUUCAUCUGCCACGUAUCACUUCAGAACAACACACACACACACACACAGAGAGAGAGAGAGAGAGCUGUUUGUUUGCUUCUUCAUCUACAAAAUUACAAAUGAAGAAUUAGUUAUUUUUUGGUGAAGAAACACUUCUUAGUGAAAAUGUUUGGGAAGAAAAGAAAGCACCCAGUAGGUGGCACUGUAACUCAUUAAUGUUUGGUACAUGAUGGGAAGACCAAAGAAGAUUAAAAUUCUAAUUUGAUUUAAUACUUUUUCUUGUGUAAUGCGAUGGUUUUAAAUGUCAAUAACAGUUGUAUUUAUUUACUUCUGGUGUUAUCUCAUAAUCCCUCUGGAUUAUUUGACCAGAUGCAGCAGUGAAACACGUACAUGACGAGCAGCCGUUUGUCCGUGUCUUCCACCAGAACAGCUGUGGUUUUUCAUGAUGCCUGGCUCCACGUGGCCUCGGCUGCAGCUGUGAUUCCCCCGUCAGUACUUUAUCUUAUUUUACUUCAUUCACUCUGAACUCGGCCGGGCCAACGCAACCACUGGAUCCACUUGAGUGCAGUACCGAGGAGCAGCCACAGAAUGAAAAUGCUCCCCACAACAAAGUGGCUUUUGAUGCAGAGAAAAGUAAACUAUGAGAACGGGAACGCUCUGUGUUCUCUCUUUGUUUCUCUGCCUGCUCAUCCAGCCGGCCCUGAAAUAAACCGCCCCGACCUUGACGUUAGCACAGCUGUCAAAGAGCACACAACCACAGUACAAUCUCAAACUGCAGUAGAGUUUGGGAUUUUAAUGACACUUUAGCUUAAAACGGGUGUCAAACUCAUUUUGGUUUACAGGCCGCAUACAACCUAAUUAGAUGUCUAGUGGUAAUUAACUAUAAAAAACAAUUAGUCCAUGUUUUCAUUAGUCCUUUGUUUUCAUGCACAGAAGUUUCUUAAAUUCGAGAUUUCUUAAAUUCAUCAAGCCGGCCAGAUUGAACACCCUAACGGCCCGGUUUUGGCCCACAGACUGUAUGUUUGACCCCUGGCUUGAAACAUCCCUUUACAUUGACAUUUACCUUCAGACACCCCUGCUCUACCUCUCCAUCUGGUUGGGGGUUCUGUGGCCUGAACACUGGAGAAGAAGGGUAUCAAACCCCUGACCUUCUGGUAGAAGGCUGGUUCACAUCAGCUACUGAAGAACUAAUGACAUCCGGCUCAGAGCUGGAGUGUUAGAAUUGUUAAACCACUGCUUUAGAUCAACAGGUCAGAUGAUCAACAGCAUGACUGUGUUGAUGUUCUAAGGAGAACAUCAACACAGUCGCACUGAUUAUUUCUGGAGGGAAAUAAACGGAUCAUCAGACACAAGGACGAGAGAGAGAGAGAGAGACUGUUGGUGUGUGAACAGUGCCUCAGAACUCUGUGCUUAUGUAACUACACUGAGGCCAUGUGAGUGAAGCACUGACCCGACUAACUCUAAAAAACAGUGGAGAACCAGUGGGUGGAGAACGUGAGGAGACCAGAGAGAUGUCAGACACUGACGGGUAGGAAGAAGAAAAAAAAGAUAACGCUACUAAAGAUUAAUGAAGCACAGGAAAGUUCUUCACUUUUCUGUCUUCACUGUCAGAAAGUGGGUCAGCUCUCGUUCUCUCUCGCUCUUCACGGGGCUCCACCAUCCGCACAGCAGCCCGUGAUGGCGAUGCGGUUCGACAGGACUGACAUUGAUGAGAGGUGAUGAUGAAAAAAAGACGGGAAACACACAAAGAGGAGCACAACGAUGUUACACUUUUAGAUUUUCUUCAACAGAUAAAUAAAUAAUGGUUUGAGUUUUGACUCUUGUUGCAUCACUCCUUUACAUUUGAGAUCUUUUCUGGGUCACAGGAGGGUGGGAAGGGUCUCCAGUUAAGGUUUAAAGAUAAGUCGAUAUUACAAUUAAUUGCUGUUUUAACCGCUACGGUUUAUUUGUGGUAACGUUUCCUAAAUACCGUCAGAAAACAACAUGGCGGAACUACAUUUAAGCGCAACGCAAACGGAACGAAAACAAAGUUACACAACACCAGCGAGUUGUGUCGCGGCGUGUGUUGCUUUGUUUUCGAUCCGUGCAAGUUACAGAAGUAUGUCGUAGUCGUGCCCUAGUGGGGUGAACUACAGAAGAAAACCGUUUUUACCCUUGAAUAAGCGCAUUAAAUCAGCUUUGUGGGAUUAUUAUGGAUACAGUAAAAAAUGACCAUGGAGUUGUCGUAGAUGACGGUUUACCAGCACGCCAUAAAACAGUUGGUGAAAUGAGGAAGUACAUCCAUUGUUUUUACCGCCUGCGGUACAACCGGCCGACUUUGUUCGCCAAAGUAAAGACUGAGCGUUCCUCACGGAGGCCUGUCCAGGGUUGGUUGUUCGCACUUUGGUGUCCAGACUGGACGAAGGGCUGCCGAGGUUAUUCCCAAACUGUCCAGCAGAGGAGAAUGACAAAGAUGGAAUUACAGAG
Cynoglossus semilaevis (tongue sole) is the source of this 6400-nucleotide long non-coding RNA. RefSeq lists it as uncharacterized. The transcript has 7 exons. Lineage: Eukaryota; Metazoa; Chordata; Actinopteri; Pleuronectiformes; Cynoglossidae. The record is from RefSeq and is a predicted model, not a curated record.